Molecule: transfer RNA, 114 nt
Organism: Dacryopinax sp.
Lineage: Eukaryota; Fungi; Basidiomycota; Dacrymycetes; Dacrymycetales; Dacrymycetaceae
Rfam family: tRNA
About the family: Transfer RNA (tRNA) molecules are approximately 80 nucleotides in length. Their secondary structure includes four short double-helical elements and three loops (D, anti-codon, and T loops).
Source: Rfam
GGGGAUGUAGCUCAUCGGUAGAGCGCUCGCUUAGCAAGUAUUUGACCACCUGUUCUUCAAACCGGCGACUCACUACGUUGCGAGAGGUGGUUGGUUCGAUUCCUAUCAUCUCCA